This 687-nucleotide long non-coding RNA is filed under the name Homo sapiens (human). RNAcentral's name for it is "non-protein coding lnc-IGFL4-1:3". Lineage: Eukaryota; Metazoa; Chordata; Mammalia; Primates; Hominidae. The record is from RNAcentral.
GCUGAUGGCUGUGGGUGACAGGAUUAGGCAUGUACAGGAUCAUGGGACAAUAGGACAUGGGGAACUUUUCUUCUCCCCAAAGGGGGAAACUUGAGAGCUGAUGGGACUGCUGGAAAAGAUUCCUUCGCAACCAAGAAGGGGCGGCCUAAACUUUUGAUUCAGUGUGGCUGCAAUGGAGUCAAGGAAACUUUUCUUUUGAGCUACUGACAGCUUAACUCCUGUGAACAAAAUUUGGAGCAUAUUUGUUUCUCUCUGCCUGAUUUCUCCAAAAUUUGGAAACUAUUUCUCUUUUUGCCUAACUCUUCCCAAGAAACCACUCCUUCUGCACACCUCCCUAAAUGGCGAAGCUUAACUUUUCCCAGAGCCCUCCCUGCCUUUCCUCACCUGCCAAGCCCAGUCCCCAGGACCUGCACCCACAGCCAGUCCCAAAAUCCACUCUGAGCUGUUAACAGCAACCAGAGAAGCUCAGAGACAUCAUCCUGUGCCCCGUGGUCAAGACCUAGUGACCUCAGAAUCAUUCUCGCUCUCCUUCUGCUUCUCAGCUGCCAUCUUCAUUUUUGAACUUUUGGGUUCAAACUCAGAAGGAGUCACAGAUCUUAGACUGUGGCUAUGCCAGCCAGCGCCCAGGUGCGGGGAGUGGACCUACAACCCCUUGGAGCAGUGCUGUGAUGACGGUGUCAUCCUAGA